GGAUUGCCCUAGUAACGGCGAGUGAAGCGGCAACAGCUCAAAUUUGAAAUCUGGCUCUUUCAGAGUCCGAGUUGUAAUUUGCAGAGGGCGCUUUGGCGUUGGCAGCGGUCCAAGUUCUUUGGAACAGGACGUCACAGAGGGUGAGAAUCCCGUACGUGGUCGCUAGCCUUCGCCGUGUAAAGCCCCUUCGACGAGUCGAGUUGUUUGGGAAUGCAGCUCUAAAUGGGAGGUAAAUUUCUUCUAAAGCUAAAUACUGGCCAGAGACCGAUAGCGCACAAGUAGAGUGAUCGAAAGAUGAAAAGCACUUUGGAAAGAGAGUCAAAUAGCACGUGAAAUUGUUGAAAGGGAAGCGCUUGCAGCCAGACUUGCCUGUAGUUGCUUAUCCGGACUUUUGUCCGGUGCACUCUUCUGCGGGCAGGCCAGCAUCAGUUUGGGCGGUUGGAUAAAGGUCUCUGUCAUGUACCUCCUUUCGGGGAGGCCUUAUAGGGGAGACGACAUGCAACCAGCCUGGACUGAGGUCCGCGCAUCUGCUAGGAUGCUGGCGUAAUGGCUGUAAGCGGCCCGUCUUGAAACACGGACCAAGGAGUCUAACAUCUAUGCGAGUGUUUGGGUGUGAAGCCCAGACGCGUAAUGAAAGUGAACGGAGGUGGGAACCUUUUAGGUGCACCAUCGACCGAUCCUGAUGUCUUCGGAAGGAUUUGAGUAAGAGCAUGGCUGUUGGGACCCGAAAGAUGGUGAACUAUGCUUGAAUAGGGUGAAGCCAGAGGAAACUCUGGUGGAGGCUCGCAGCGGUUCUGACGUGCAAAUCGAUCGUCAAAUUUGGGCAUAGGGGCGAAAGACUAAUCGAACUAUCUAGUAGCUGGUUCCUGCCGAAGUUUCCCUCAGGAUAGCAGUAACGUAUUCAGUUUUAUGAGGUAAAGCGAAUGAUUAGAGGCCUGGGGGGUUGAAACAACCUUCACCUAUUCUCAAACUUUAAAUAUGUAAGAAGUCCUUGUUACUUGAUU
Molecule: ribosomal RNA, 1004 nt
Filed under: Didymocyrtis cf. epiphyscia Ertz 17411 (BR)
Lineage: Eukaryota; Fungi; Ascomycota; Dothideomycetes; Pleosporales; Phaeosphaeriaceae
Description: eukaryotic LSU rRNA
Rfam family: Eukaryotic large subunit ribosomal RNA
Source: RNAcentral